Molecule: long non-coding RNA, 1981 nt
Organism: Cornus florida
Lineage: Eukaryota; Viridiplantae; Streptophyta; Magnoliopsida; Cornales; Cornaceae
Exons: 3
Source: RefSeq, a predicted model, not a curated record
UCUCUCAUCUCACGGUUAUAAAGCCUGUAUAAACCAAAUUGCAUAAAUAUUUGGAGUCCGGACCUGCCAAAGCCUCUAUAAAUCGGCAGAAGCGUGAUUCCUUAAUCCUUACCAAGUUCUCUCUCUCUCUACAAUAGACGGAGAUUUCGCUGGAAAACUCUCCCUUCUCCGGCUAUUAUUUGACAUUUUCAGGCGAUUACUGGUAGGAAUCAUCAGCAAGCCACAGAAAGCAGUGAGGUUCCGUUAAGAAGAUGGUCCGGAUUUGGAGUGAAAUCGGACCAUGCGACGACAAAGGUUUUAUUCUUGCAAAGAAGAAACAAUUUGGAUUGAGUAGAGCCGGAAAAAAGAGUAAGUUAUUUUGUAUUUAUUAUUUAUUCUAUUUUAUUUAUUUUUAGUUAAGCAAGGUUAUUGUCGAUUUGAUAAAUUUAUGUAGCUGGUAAGGGAGACAUUUCCCAAAUGGAUUUACUGCAACUUUUUGAUAGUUUUAGAGAAGGAUUGCAAAAGUUUAAUUAAUAUUAUAAAAUUUUAAAUUAGUAUUAUUGUCUAGUUCUAUUAAAAUUUUGUAAGUCUCUAAAACUGUCAAUAGUUACAAUCAAUCCUAUUAGACUUGGGAAAAGAAAACAUAGAAUAACCCAAAAAAAAAUGAAAAUAAAAAGUUCAAAGAAUAUUCAAUAUUAAUUUAGUGGAUAAAUCAAAUGAACAAAUUGUCUCUUAAUUUUGUUAAUAAAUUUUGACAUAUUUAUUAGCUUAUUUAUUAUAUAUUAAACAAAAAGAAAAAUUGUAAUUAAGAAAAAUUGAGUUUUUGAAAACAUAAAAUUAUUUUCACAUUUACAAAUCCUGUAGGCAAGGAAGAAGUGAAUAGAUUAUCUGAUACAUCUUGUGCAGGUUACUUUGUCAUCGGAUUCUCGAAGAUGAAUUUAAAUUUUAUUUUUGGUGGUGGCUGUAAAGACAUGCAGUAUCUCACAUCAAAUUUGAAUUGAAGAAGCAGCCAGGAGAAUCUUUCACGCAGGGGUUAUAUUUUUCGAGCACGCAUGGACUAUAUCUUUCAUUCAGAGGAAAGAAUCUUUAAAGCAGCUGAAAAGGAUGGUAGACACUCUUGGCAGAAUUGAGUCCCUAUUAACAACUAUAUAUAGUCCAUUUUAGAACAAUAACACUCAGUUUGAUGGAGUUAACAAAGGCAUUUCAAUCCCUUUGACACGAGAUAAAUUGACUCUAUUGCUUUUUGACUUAUAAAUGAACCCUAUUUCACUCAGGAAGUUACUAUUUUAACCACCUUUUAAUCUCUUUACCAAACUCACCGACCACUGAAGAAGAAUAGCAGUGUGAAAGCCAUACAAGGAGAUAAAUAAAUAAAUAUAUAUAUUUACACAACGUGAGUUAAAAAUUACACAGCGACGGAUAAAAAAUUUGCCGUAUAUUUUGUAAUGUAUCAUUGAAAAAAUUGUUUGUAAUGUAUCAUUGAAAAAAUUGUUUCCACCGACGGCAAUCUUAGUUCCCUCACUAGCAUAAUCAGUGGCCCACUAAUGCUCACGAGAUUACAAUCACUGCUGAUUUCUGAGUUACGAGAGCCCCUACAGCGUAAGUGGGCGGUCAACAACAACCUCUGCCGCCACGAUGAUGUCAUCUUCCUCAAUGCGCGUGCCACGAGCAUCCUCUACAACGUAAGCGGGCGGUCAACAACUACAUCUGCCUUCACGAUGAUGUCAUCUUCCUCGAUGCGCGUGCCACGAGCAUCCUUUGCAGCGUUGUUUGGGGUUCUUUGUUUUUUCAUUUUAAUUGUAUAUAUAUAUAUAUAUAUACACACUCACAUGUAACCACACACAAUAAAAUAUUGAAGCUCUGUUUUUUCCUAGUUUUUUGUCUAUAUAUUAUCUUGGUCUUGCAGUGUUAUAAAUUUCCACAGUCCACUUUGUAAUCAACUUACGAGAACGCUUAGUCAGUUCUUUUUGGAAAAAAAAAAAAAAUUAAUUGCAUUUAUUCA